Long non-coding RNA from Canis lupus familiaris (dog), 386 nucleotides. RefSeq lists it as uncharacterized. The transcript is spliced from 2 exons. Lineage: Eukaryota; Metazoa; Chordata; Mammalia; Carnivora; Canidae. The record is from RefSeq and is a predicted model, not a curated record.
GGGACGGGGAAGGGGCCUAAGGUUCAGGAUGUUCCUUCCACCUGUCUUUACCCCACGCCAUCCCAGGCCCAGCAGGCACCGGGCAAGGGACAGGUGCUGCCUGGAAAGACACUGGGCGGUGGGGAGCCAGAAGCCAGGCGUGGUGACAGUUGGCAUCAUGAAGACCCCGAGUGUCCUGGAGUCAAGCCCGCCUUGAGCAGAAGUGGGAAGGCAUAGAAGGUGGCCUUCCAGGGCUCUGCACGCUUCCUGGCACCAGAGAUCACUCUGGUCUUGUUUAGUGAACACAGCUGACCUGUGUCAAGGAACUCUAGGGGUCCCGACCAUGCAUGCCUCAUUCAUCCCUGCACGUCAAUGGUUCAUUGAGCACCUACUAUGUGUAAGACCCA